GGAGCUUGCUCCCGGAGAUUAGCGGCGGACGGGUGAGUAACACGUGGGCAACCUGCCCUGUAGACUGGGAUAACACCGAGAAAUCGGUGCUAAUACCGGAUAAUACCUUUCUCCUCAUGGAGGGAGGUUGAAAGUUGGGAUUACUAACACUACAGGAUGGGCCCGCGGCGCAUUAGCUAGUUGGUAAGGUAAUGGCUUACCAAGGCGACGAUGCGUAGCCGACCUGAGAGGGUGAUCGGCCACACUGGGACUGAGACACGGCCCAGACUCCUACGGGAGGCAGCAGUAGGGAAUCUUCCGCAAUGGACGAAAGUCUGACGGAGCAACGCCGCGUGAGUGAUGAAGGUUUUCGGAUCGUAAAGCUCUGUUGUUAGGGAAGAACAAGUGCCGAACGAAUAGGUCGGCACCUUGACGGUACCUAACCAGAAAGCCACGGCUAACUACGUGCCAGCAGCCGCGGUAAUACGUAGGUGGCAAGCGUUGUCCGGAAUUAUUGGGCGUAAAGCGCGCGCAGGCGGUCUUUUAAGUCUGAUGUGAAAGCCCCCGGCUCAACCGGGGAGGGUCAUUGGAAACUGGGAGACUUGAGUACAGAAGAGGAGAGUGGAAUUCCACGUGUAGCGGUGAAAUGCGUAGAUAUGUGGAGGAACACCAGUGGCGAAGGCGACUCUCUGGUCUGUAACUGACGCUGAGGCGCGAAAGCGUGGGGAGCAAACAGGAUUAGAUACCCUGGUAGUCCACGCCGUAAACGAUGAGUGCUAGGUGUUAGGGGUUUCGAUGCCCUUAGUGCCGAAGUUAACACAUUAAGCACUCCGCCUGGGGAGUACGACCGCAAGGUUGAAACUCAAAGGAAUUGACGGGGGCCCGCACAAGCAGUGGAGCAUGGUGGUUUAAUUCGAAGCAACGCGAAGA
RNAcentral lists this ribosomal RNA (909 nucleotides) under Halalkalibacterium halodurans. Its description in RNAcentral is "bacterial SSU rRNA". It matches the Rfam family "Bacterial small subunit ribosomal RNA", at positions 75 to 967 of the family's 1533-position model. Lineage: Bacteria; Bacillati; Bacillota; Bacilli; Caryophanales; Bacillaceae. The record is from RNAcentral.